UCCCAGACUCCUACGGGAGGCAGCAGUGAGGAAUAUUGGUCAAUGGCCGGGAGGCUGAACCAGCCAAGUCGCGUGAGGGAAGACGGCCCUACGGGUUGUAAACCUCUUUUGUCAGGGAGCAAGGUGCAGGUCGGGACCUGCUGUGAGAGUACCUGAAGAAAAAGCAUCGGCUAACUCCGUGCCAGCAGCCGCGGUAAUACGGAGGAUGCGAGCGUUAUCCGGAUUUAUUGGGUUUAAAGGGUGCGCAGGCGGAGGCACAAGUCAGCGGUAAAAUCGGGGGGCUCAGCCCCGCGCCGCCGUUGAAACUGUGUCCCUUGAGUGCGCGAAGGGUAGGCGGAAUGCGUGGUGUAGCGGUGAAAUGCAUAGAUAUCACGCAGAACUCCGAUUGCGAAGGCAGCGUACCGGCGCCAGACUGACGCUGAGGCACGAAAGCGUGGGGAUCGAACAGGAUUAGAUGCCCCAGUA
Molecule: ribosomal RNA, 465 nt
Filed under: uncultured bacterium
Lineage: Bacteria
Description: bacterial SSU rRNA
Rfam family: Bacterial small subunit ribosomal RNA
Source: RNAcentral